RNAcentral lists this ribosomal RNA (421 nucleotides) under uncultured bacterium. Its description in RNAcentral is "partial 16S ribosomal RNA". It matches the Rfam family "Bacterial small subunit ribosomal RNA", at positions 360 to 773 of the family's 1533-position model. The record is from RNAcentral.
AAUAUUGGACAAUGGGCGAAAGCCUGAUCCAGCCAUGCCGCGUGUGUGAAGAAGGUCCUCGGAUUGUAAAGCACUCUAAGUUGGGAGGAAGGGCAGUAAGUUAAUACCUAGCUGUUGUGACGUUAGCGACAGAAAACGCACCGUCUAACUGCGUGCCAGCAGCCGCGGUAAUACGGAGGGUGCAAGCGUUAAUCGGAAUUACUGGGCGUAAAGCGCGUGUAGGUGGUUUGUUAAGUUGGAAGUGAAAGCCCCGGGCUCAACCUGGGAACUGCAUUCAAAACUGGCAAGCUAGAGUAUGGCAGAGGGUGGUGGAAUUUCCUGUGUAGCGGUGAAAUGCGUAGAUAUAGGAAGGAACACCAGUGGCGAAGGCGACCACCUGGGCUAAUACUGACACUGAGGUGCGAAAGCGUGGGGAGCAAAC